UACGGAGGGGGCAAGCGUUAUUCGGAUUUACUGGGCGUAAAGGGUGUGUAGGCGGUCGUGCAAGUCUGGUGUGAAAUCUUCACCACUCAACGGGAAGAGGUCACUGGAAACUGCAUGACUUGAGUUUGGUAGAGGCUAGCGGAAUUCCUGGUGUAGCGGUGGAAUGUGUAGAUAUCAGGAAGAACACCGGUGGCGAAGGCGACUCGCUGGACAGGUAUUGACGCUGAGGUGCGAAAGCGUGGGGAGCAAACAGG
This 254-nucleotide ribosomal RNA is filed under the name uncultured bacterium. Its description in RNAcentral is "partial 16S ribosomal RNA". It matches the Rfam family "Bacterial small subunit ribosomal RNA", at positions 524 to 776 of the family's 1533-position model. The record is from RNAcentral.